AAAGAUUAAGCCAUGCAUGUCUAAGAACAUAUGUGUAAACAUGAAUCUGCGAACGGCUCAUUAUUAACACCCGUAAUCUACCCAGUCUUCGUAUCCAAAACGGAUAUCUGCGUUAAUUUUGGAGCUAAAACGUGCACCAAAGCACCGCCAGCAAUGGUAGUGCGCACUUAUUAGUUUAAGGCCGAUUGGGGCAACCCUCUUGGUGACUCUGAAUAAUUUUGCGGAUCGCAUGGUCUUGUACCGGCGACGUACUGGUCGAGCGGGUGCCCUAUCAACUAUUGAUGGAAGUCUAUGUGUCUUCCAUGGUUGUAACGGGUAACGGAGAAUAAGGGUUCGACUCCGGAGAGCUAGCCUUAGAAACGGCUAUCACAUCCAAGGAAGGCAGCAGGCGCGUAAAUUACCCACUCUCAAUUCGAGGAGGUAGUGACUAUCAAUAACGAGACAGAUCUCUUUGAGGUCUGUCAUUGAAAUGAGCACAACUUAAAGACUUUAACGAAGUCUAUGGAGCA
Molecule: ribosomal RNA, 509 nt
Filed under: Pristionchus lheritieri
Lineage: Eukaryota; Metazoa; Nematoda; Chromadorea; Rhabditida; Neodiplogasteridae
Description: SSU rRNA
Rfam family: Eukaryotic small subunit ribosomal RNA
Source: RNAcentral